AGCCCAACAGCUAGCUCACACCCCAAAAUACAACAACACCCUAUCAAUAAACCCUAAUAACCCCAAACACCCAAAACAAACCAUUUUUCCCCCUUAGUACGGGCGACAGAAAAGGACAAGACGAAGCGAUAGCAAUAGUACCGCAAGGGAACGCUGAAAGAGAAAUGAAACAAAUCAGUACAAGCGCAAAAAAGCAGAGUUUAAGCCUCGUACCUUUUGCAUCAUGGUUUAGCAAGAAAAUAUCAAGCAAAGAGCACUUUAGUUUGAUUCCCCGAAACCAAGUGAGCUACUCCAAGACAGCCUAUUAAGGGCGUACCCGUCUCUGUGGCAAAAGAGUGGGGAGAGCUUUGAGUAGAGGUGACAGACCUACCGAACUUGGUUAUAGCUGGUUGUCCAAGAAUUGAAUAGGAGUUCAGCCUUUUGCCCUCUCCCCCCAACACCCCUACACGCUUUAAGCGCCCGAGAAGACAAAAGAGUUAGUCAAAGGGGGUACAGCCCCUUUGAAACAGACACAACUUUCCUAGUAGGGUCAGAAUCAAAGAAUACCAGGGAAUGUGUUUUAGUUGGCCUAAAAGCAGCCACCCACAUAGAAAGCGUUAAAGCUCAUACACCCCCCACCCCUAUUAUUUUGAUCAUGUUAUUCCACCCCCCUAAUAUACACUGGACCUCUCCAUCCAUAUGGAAGAGAUCAUGCUAAUAUGAGUAAUAAGAGACCUAGACUCUCUCCCUGCACAAGUAUAAAUCGGAACGAACCCCCACCGAAUAUUAACGGCCUCAAAGAAGAGGGGACUGGAACAUUAUGCAUAAACACUAGAAAAGCAUCCACACUAGAUACCGUUAACCUUACACUAGAGUGCUUACAAGGAAAGACUAAAAGAAGAAGAAGGAACUCGGCA
RNAcentral lists this ribosomal RNA (896 nucleotides) under Apogon campbelli. RNAcentral's name for it is "partial 16S ribosomal RNA". The stretch from base 192 to 896 matches the Rfam family "Bacterial large subunit ribosomal RNA", at positions 568 to 1719 of the family's 2925-position model. The record is from RNAcentral. Lineage: Eukaryota; Metazoa; Chordata; Actinopteri; Kurtiformes; Apogonidae.